UGGAUUUUUGGCUGCGAGGUGAGAACACCACCCACACCCACAGAAGGCUUCGAGGAACCCCGGUUCACACCAGCUGGCUCUCACUCCGGUCAACUGCUGGUGGUGUCAGCUCUGAAAGUGGAACAGCCCACGGAACAGAAGAGAGAGCAGAGGAACGGAGGCGAACCGUGGGAAAAACACCUGCACUGCGAGAGGAAUGCUUAUCAACUCUGUCUCAGAAUGCAGACCUACAGUUACAUCACCUCAUCACAUGACCUCAUCCUUCACGUGAACUUUGGGAGCAAGAAUCAGGGGUAAUGACAUCACUGGCUGCUUCCUUCCCUACCCCUCAGUUGGACCUUCCCUGACCAAUGUAGUGAGGCCCUGGAAUGAAAUGACCUCAAGACAACAAAUACUCUAGCCAAAAUUACACCAAUCACUUCUGGAGAUGACUUGCAUAAUGUGCUCUGACGAAGGUACUGUUCCCGAAAACGUUGGCGAUACCCAAUAAAUCAUUGGAAGCGUAUAUAUUAUGCGACUUUAUUUAAAUGUACCUCUCGGUUGUCAGCACCUCUGACUAUUCGGAUGAGCAUCAACUGCUCUGCUUUUUAUAUAAAGUGCAUAAUGGGGAAAAAAA
Long non-coding RNA from Salvelinus fontinalis (brook trout), 616 nucleotides. RefSeq lists it as uncharacterized. The transcript is spliced from 3 exons. Lineage: Eukaryota; Metazoa; Chordata; Actinopteri; Salmoniformes; Salmonidae. The record is from RefSeq and is a predicted model, not a curated record.